Ribosomal RNA from Panthera pardus (leopard), 129 nucleotides. Lineage: Eukaryota; Metazoa; Chordata; Mammalia; Carnivora; Felidae. The record is from Ensembl.
GUCUAUGGCCAUACCACCCUGAACACGCUUGAUCUCAUCUGAUCUCAGAAGCUGCGCAGGGUCAGGCCUGGUUAGUACUCGGAUGGGAGGAAAGCCUUCGCACGUCUGAGGAAGUGGGUCCCCAAGCCA